AAAAAGAAAGAUCAGGUUGUUCAAAUCACUGAUAUGCUAAUUUUAUAACUUAGAGGUAAAAUUGAGGAGUGAUCUUAGAGAUGGUAUUGGGGAAUAUUGAAUGCUAGGACUUAGAAGUGGAAUUGUACUCCAUUAUUGAAUUCUAUGCCUUAGAUUGUCUCACAAAGCCAGCAUUGUUUGUGGCCCCCCUGAGGUUGGAUACCUUUGGGGUUAGGGCUACAUUCUUCUUAGGAGCUAUACCACAUCAAAUGGAUGUGUUCUACAGCAGUGAUCACCAAAGCAAGGGGGAGCAGAGAUAAUUGAGUCAAACCAAAGUGAUGAGUUAAAUGAGCCUGAUGAGUUCUCAGUAUGCUGUCUGU
This is a long non-coding RNA of Sarcophilus harrisii (Tasmanian devil), 359 nucleotides long. RefSeq lists it as uncharacterized. The transcript is spliced from 3 exons. The record is from RefSeq and is a predicted model, not a curated record. Lineage: Eukaryota; Metazoa; Chordata; Mammalia; Dasyuromorphia; Dasyuridae.